UGUAAAUGUACGUAUUGAUGUACAAAAUGAUUCUGGUAAAUGCUGUGUGCCCCUGCUUCAGCCUCCAGACUCUUCCUUGUUCACCUCCCGGAGUGUAAUACAGCACAUCCUUUCCAUUGUUGAGAUGACACAGCCAGACUGAAAUGUUGUCUAGGAAGAAACCUCUGACUACUGUCUCUCUUUCUGUUUGUAGGGGGACUUUGGUGCAGUGAUAGGGCCACAGGGACCUAAGGGUGAGCCUGGAGUUGGAUAUAUGAGCGAUGGGUUGUCUCUAAGCAGAGGGUCUCGCGGGCCCAAGGGGGAGAGAGGUGUCCCAGGAUUGCCAGGAGACCAUGCUGAAAAAGGCGAACCUGGGGAGAAUAUCAUAGGCUCGCCUGGCCGCAUGGGACCGUCGGGAAAGCCGGGUAUUGAGGGCCCUCGCGGACCACCAGGUUUAUCUGGCCCUCCUGGAGCUCCAGGAAGAGAGGUAAGUGGGAUCAGUGAGUCCUUCCACUCUUAUUCACCCGUCACAUAUCUGCAGAUAAAAGAUUGCUGAAAGCAUAAAAGAAUGUCAGCUAUCUU
Molecule: long non-coding RNA, 561 nt
Filed under: Cottoperca gobio
Lineage: Eukaryota; Metazoa; Chordata; Actinopteri; Perciformes; Bovichtidae
Description: lncRNA (ENSCGOG00000017763.1)
Source: RNAcentral